GCAGUUCAGUACAACAGGUUGCAGCUCCCGAACCUGCUAUCACUGUACGUCAUUCCGCAACAUCUACCUUGGCCCCUGCACCCGUGUGCACAACAAAUCGGGAACAACAAACAGAACUGUUUUGCAGAGGUGCCCGUGCAUCUCAAUCUACUGCAGCCACAUCGUCUACAAUGUCUGUACCAGAGAUGUCUGUACCAGAUGAGCCACAGCAAAGGGCAAGAUGUCAUACACGUACGAGUUUGCU
This is a long non-coding RNA of Sycon ciliatum, 244 nucleotides long. RefSeq lists it as uncharacterized. The record is from RefSeq and is a predicted model, not a curated record. The transcript has 3 exons. Lineage: Eukaryota; Metazoa; Porifera; Calcarea; Leucosolenida; Sycettidae.